RNAcentral lists this long non-coding RNA (1856 nucleotides) under Homo sapiens (human). RNAcentral's name for it is "novel transcript, antisense to SBF2". The record is from RNAcentral. Lineage: Eukaryota; Metazoa; Chordata; Mammalia; Primates; Hominidae.
UGUGAGUGCCCCAACUGUCUAAGUGGGAAAGGGAGACCCUCCUCUCCCGAACACACACCGGAGAAGCUGAAGGUCUGUUUGUGGGAGAAGUUUCCGACUUUACCUAAAGCUGAGUCAAGUUAGAGAGCCAAGCGAAAUACAGGGGUAGAGAAAGCAGCAGAAAGGCCCUGGGAGCUUGCCGGGUCCCAAAGCAGCCCAUUCCUGCCUGGCACCACAGGGAUCCCUCAGAAGGGUGGCCAGAGGAGCAGCAGACUGAAAUUAUUAACUGGCAGCAAACCAGCCUUCAGCAUACACAUGAUGACAAUGCCUGGGAGGAUUCUGUUGGAGAAACAAGAAGGAAGGAAACUUGGAUCUUGAGUGACUUCAUAGAGCAAACUGGUCUGGCAUAAUGGAACAUCUCUAUGGACUGCUGCAUGAAUGUUCGAUAACACUUUAUUUUGUUUGAGCCAUUGCAUUUUGUUCUGAUUUUACUAUAUAUGCUGCUGCAGCAAGCACAGAGGAUUGCAUUUGAGACACUUUAUUCAAGUAGUUUAGUAAUAUUCUAAAAAAAUUAGUAUUUAUUAUAAGAAUUAACAAUUAGUAUACAUCAAAAGGGUGCUGUUUAGCCACUUAGAAAAAGCUGAUCUUUAGCAUUUUACAAAAGUCUAUUUAAAAAUAACUUACAUAAAAGUGUAAGAGAAAACAACCAAGAUGAGUGAAGUUGUUAUAUUGACAAUAUUAUACUUCAUUCUAAUUUAUUCAUUACGAUUUUAAGAAAUUUGCAUUUGGCAACACUUGGUUUGUCCUACCUCCAGCGACUGUUUUUAUUUAUUUGGCAACACUUGGUUGGUCCUACCUCCAGUGACUGUAUGUAUGUAUGUAUGUAUGUAUGUAUGUAUGUAUGUAUGUAUGUAUGUAUUUAUUUUUGAGACAGAGUCUUACUCUCGCCCAGGCUGGAGUAUAGUGGUGCAAUCUUGACUCACUGCAACCUCCACCUCCCAGGUUCAAGUGAUUCUCCUGCCUCACCCUCCUGAGUAGCUGGGAUUACAGGCAUGCACCACCACACCCAGCUAAUUUUUUGUAGUUUUAGUAGAGACAGGGUUUCUCCAUGUUGGCCAGGGUGGUCUCAAACUCCUGACCUCAGGUGAUCCGCCUGCCUUGGCCUCCCGAAGUGCUAGGAUUACAGGUGUGGGCCACCGUGCCUGGCCUCCAGUGACUGUUUAUAUUUAGCAGAAAUAAAAUUAUGUACAAACCAGGUGGAUAUGCUUCUAACUAGUAUUAAUUAGGUUUUAUUAAAUGUUUAUUGAUUUACACAUAUUUUUAUACAGUGAUACCAAAAUUAAAUAGGAACUAAGUAUCAACAUAUAAAGUUAGAAAGAAUGAUGACUAUACGAAUGAAAGUCCUGCUUAUAAUUAUAAUGUUAAAUAAUAUUUUGUUAGUUUAAAUGACACCUCUGAUUUGGUUACAACUAUAAUUACUUCUUUGCUGGCAUUUAAAACUAAAACAGAAGAAGAAUUACAAAAUCUUAGGGAUCUGUGGAUCAUAGAUGCUAUGCAGCCUAACUUUACAGUGAAGAAUUUUUCUCAGGCUCUCUGAAAAGUGUCACAUAAUCUUUUCCUUACACUCUACUUACAGUGCUUGAGAGUACACUCCUCAUCUCACAUAAGGAAAUCCAUUCCAUAACCAGGCAGUUCUAAUUGUUGGAAACACUUUUACUGGGCAGAAAUCUGUUUCUAUAGCCACUUCAUCCACUGAUUUUAUUUCAGCCUUUUAGAGUUACAAAAAAUGAAUCUCAACCCUUCUUCUAUGACAGUAACUUAAAUACUUACUUUUACCUAUCAAAUAGUAUCAGAUUAUUACCUGAGAAAAUUUCCUU